This 71-nucleotide transfer RNA is filed under the name Mertensiella caucasica. RNAcentral's name for it is "tRNA-Ser". It matches the Rfam family "tRNA". From Rfam's summary of the family: Transfer RNA (tRNA) molecules are approximately 80 nucleotides in length. Their secondary structure includes four short double-helical elements and three loops (D, anti-codon, and T loops). Further hydrogen bonds mediate the characteristic L-shaped molecular structure. tRNAs have two regions of fundamental functional importance: the anti-codon, which is responsible for specific mRNA codon recognition, and the 3' end, to which the tRNAs corresponding amino acid is attached (by aminoacyl-tRNA synthetases). tRNAs cope with the degeneracy of the genetic code in two manners: having more than one tRNA (with a specific anti-codon) for a particular amino acid; and 'wobble' base-pairing, i.e. permitting non-standard base-pairing at the 3rd anti-codon position. The record is from RNAcentral. Lineage: Eukaryota; Metazoa; Chordata; Amphibia; Caudata; Salamandridae.
AAGAAAGUGGUAGAUCGGUUAUACAGUUAACUUGAAAUUAAAUUAAGGGGGUUCGAUUCCCUCCUCUCUUG